CGGAUUGAAGGCUGAAAUUCGCCUUCAUGAAGCUGGAAUUGCUAGUAAUGGCAGGUCAGCAUACUGCCGUGAAUACGUUCCCGGGCCUUGUACACACCGCCCGUCAAGCCAUGAAAGCCGGGGGGUACCUGAAGUGCGUAACCGCGAGGAGCGCCCUAGGGUAAAACUGGUGAUUGGGGCUAAGUCGUAACAAGGUAAC
Molecule: ribosomal RNA, 199 nt
Filed under: uncultured bacterium
Lineage: Bacteria
Description: partial 16S ribosomal RNA
Rfam family: Bacterial small subunit ribosomal RNA
Source: RNAcentral